RNAcentral lists this long non-coding RNA (214 nucleotides) under Nicotiana benthamiana. RNAcentral's name for it is "long non-coding RNA (NBEN_LNC004176)". Lineage: Eukaryota; Viridiplantae; Streptophyta; Magnoliopsida; Solanales; Solanaceae. The record is from RNAcentral.
UUUUUUUAUACUAUUUAGUGUAAGCCAUAUAAUAAAGUCAUUGGCAAAUGAGAUUUGGUAUAUCAUUUGAUGAGAACAUGUUUACAGCAACGCUGGGUUACAUCCAGCUAGGGCGGGGAAUUUUCUCUUCUUAUUUUAAUUUGGUGAAAGAUAUGCAACACUAGGAAGAAAAGAGGAAAAAAAGAAAAAAGGAAUAUAUGCUCAUAAAAUCAUG